ACGUACGCUGGCGGCACGCCUAACACAUGCAAGUCGAACGAAGUAGCAAUACUUAGUGGCAGACGGGUGAGUAACGUGUGGGUAUCUACCCUUUGGCCUGGAAUAACACGAGGAAACUUGUGCUAAUACCGGAUAAGUCUUUACGGAGAAAGCUUUAUGCACCAUUGGAUGAGCCCGCACUUGAUUAGUUUGUUGGUAGGGUAAUGGCCUACCAAGACUAUGAUCAAUAGCUGAUUUGAGAGGAUGAUCAGCCACAUUGGGACUGAGACACGGCCCAAACUCCUACGGGAGGCAGCAGUGGGGAAUCUUGCACAAUGGAGGAAACUCUGAUGCAGCGAUGCCGCGUGAGUGAAGAAGGCCUUUGGGUUGUAAAGCUCUUUCGUCGGGGAAGAAAAUGACUGUACCCGAAUAAGAAGGUCCGGCUAACUUCGUGCCAGCAGCCGCGGUAAUACGAAGGGACCUAGCGUAGUUCGGAAUUACUGGGCUUAAAGAGUUCGUAGGUGGUUGAAAAAGUUGGUGGUGAAAUCCCAGAGCUUAACUCUGGAACUGCCAUCAAAACUUUUCAGCUAGAGUAUGAUAGAGGAAAGCAGAAUUUCUAGUGUAGAGGUGAAAUUCGUAGAUAUUAGAAAGAAUACCAAUUGCGAAGGCAGCUUUCUGGAUCAUUACUGACACUGAGGAACGAAAGCAUGGGUAGCGAAGAGGAUUAGAUACCCUCGUAGUCCAUGCCGUAAACGAUGUGUGUUAGACGUUGGAAAUUUAUUUUCAGUGUCGCAGGGAAACCGAUAAACACACCGCCUGGGAAGUACGACCGCAAGGUUAAAACUCAAAUGAAUUGACGGGGACCCGCACAAGUAGUGGAGCAUGUGGUUUAAUUCGAAGAUACGCGCAGAACCUUACCAACACUUGACAUGUUCGUCGCGACUCUAAGAGAUUAGAGUUUUCGGUUCGGCCGGACGAAACACAGGUGCUGCAUGGCUGUCGUCAGCUCGUGUCGUGAGAUGUUGGGUUAAGUCCCGCAACGAGCGCAACCCUCACUUUUAGUUGCCAUCAUUAAGUUGGGCACUCUGAAAGAACUGCCAGUGAUAAGCUGGAGGAAGGUGGGGAUGACGUCAAGUCCUCAUGGCCCUUACGUGUUGGGCUACACACGUGCUACAAUGGCAUCUACAACAGGAAGCAAAACGGCAACGUUAAGCAAAUCCCGAAAAGAUGCCUCAGUUCGGAUUGCACUCUGCAACUCGAGUGCAUGAAGCUGGAAUUACUAGUAAUCGUGGAUCAGCGUGCCACGGUGAAUGCGUUCCCGGGUCUUGUACACACCGC
RNAcentral lists this ribosomal RNA (1317 nucleotides) under uncultured Alphaproteobacteria bacterium. RNAcentral describes it as "bacterial SSU rRNA". It matches the Rfam family "Bacterial small subunit ribosomal RNA", at positions 29 to 1393 of the family's 1533-position model. Lineage: Bacteria; Pseudomonadati; Pseudomonadota; Alphaproteobacteria. The record is from RNAcentral.